AGAGAGAGAGAGGUGAAUGAGAGAAAGACAUGGAGAGGAAUGCAAGAGAGGAUGACCAGAGCAUAGAACCAUGGCAUCAGCUCUGCCAUUGAUCUCAAAACAGCCUCUAUCUAUCUAGCAGUGCUUGGACUGAUCUAGACAGGAGCUGUAUGACAGUUCACACAGGUGGCUGGUCCAGCGGUAAUGCUGCAGCCUCCAACACACAGGUCUACACUGUCUGCAUAGGUUUAAAUAGGGCCUGCUGCCCUUUGACACAAAAUUCUCUCUCUGUUCAAUGAAGACAGAAAAUACAUGACAUCUACAUAAAGGGAGAUGAUAGGAGCAGCAGAGCCAGAUCUGAAGUCCAGAGGAGAUGAUAGGAGCAGCAGAGCCAGAUCUGAAGACCAGAGGUGAUGAUAGGAGCAGCAGAGCCAGAUCUGAAGUCCAGAGGAGAUGAUAGGAGCAGCAGAGCCAGAUCUGAAGUCCAGAGGAGAUGAUAGGAGCAGCAGAGCCAGAUCUGAAGUCCAGAGGAGAUGAUAGGAGCAGCAGAGCCAGAUCUGAAGUCCAGAGGUGAUGAUAGGAGCAGCAGAGCCAGAUCUGAAGUCCAGAGGUGAUGAUAGGAGCAGCAGAGCCAGAUCUGAAGUCCAGAGGAGAUGAUAGGAGCAGCAGAGCCAGAUCUGAAGUCCAGAGGUGAUGAUAGGAGCAGCAGAGCCAGAUCUGAAGUCCAGAGGUGAUGAUAGGAGCAGCAGAGCCAGAUCUGAAGUCCAGAGGAGAUGAUAGGAGCAGCAGAGCCAGAUCUGAAGUCCAGAGGAGAUGAUAGGAGCAGCAGAGCCAGAUCUGAAGUCCAGAGGAGAUGAUAGGAGCAGCAGAGCCAGAUCUGAAGUCCAGAGGAGAUGAUAGGAGCAGCAGAGCCAGAUCUGAAGUCCAGAGGUGAUGAUAGGAGCAGCAG
Long non-coding RNA from Oncorhynchus keta (chum salmon), 928 nucleotides. RefSeq lists it as uncharacterized. Lineage: Eukaryota; Metazoa; Chordata; Actinopteri; Salmoniformes; Salmonidae. The record is from RefSeq and is a predicted model, not a curated record. The transcript is spliced from 3 exons.